This 455-nucleotide ribosomal RNA is filed under the name Salmonella enterica subsp. enterica serovar Senftenberg. RNAcentral describes it as "partial 23S ribosomal RNA". It matches the Rfam family "Bacterial large subunit ribosomal RNA", at positions 1278 to 1735 of the family's 2925-position model. Lineage: Bacteria; Pseudomonadati; Pseudomonadota; Gammaproteobacteria; Enterobacterales; Enterobacteriaceae. The record is from RNAcentral.
GGUAUCAGAAGUGCGAAUGCUGACAUAAGUAACGAUAAAGCGGGUGAAAAGCCCGCUCGCCGGAAGACCAAGGGUUCCUGUCCAACGUUAAUCGGGGCAGGGUGAGUCGACCCCUAAGGCGAGGCCGAAAGGCGUAGUCGAUGGGAAACGGGUUAAUAUUCCCGUACUUGGUGUUACUGCGAAGGGGGGACGGAGAAGGCUAUGUUGGCCGGGCGACGGUUGUCCCGGUUUAAGCGUGUAGGCUGGUUUUCCAGGCAAAUCCGGAAAAUCAAGGCUGAGGCGUGAUGACGAGGCACUACGGUGCUGAAGCAACAAAUGCCCUGCUUCCAGGAAAAGCCUCUAAGCAUCAGGUAACAUCAAAUCGUACCCCAAACCGACACAGGUGGUCAGGUAGAGAAUACCAAGGCGCUUGAGAGAACUCGGGUGAAGGAACUAGGCAAAAUGGUGCCGUAACU